This 1450-nucleotide ribosomal RNA is filed under the name uncultured organism. RNAcentral's name for it is "SSU rRNA". It matches the Rfam family "Bacterial small subunit ribosomal RNA". The record is from RNAcentral.
UGACGAACGCUGGCGGCGUGCCUAAUACAUGCAAGUAGAACGCUGAAGAGAGGAGCUUGCUCUUCUUGGAUGAGUUGCGAACGGGUGAGUAACGCGUAGGUAACCUGCCUUGUAGUGGGGGAUAACUAUUGGAAACGAUAGCUAAUACCGCAUAACAAUGGAUGACACAUGUCAUUUAUUUGAAAGGGGCAAUUGCUCCACUACAAGAUGGACCUGCGUUGUAUUAGCUAGUAGGUGAGGUAACGGCUCACCUAGGCGACGAUACAUAGCCGACCUGAGAGGGUGAUCGGCCACACUGGGACUGAGACACGGCCCAGACUCCUACGGGAGGCAGCAGUAGGGAAUCUUCGGCAAUGGGGGCAACCCUGACCGAGCAACGCCGCGUGAGUGAAGAAGGUUUUCGGAUCGUAAAGCUCUGUUGUAAGUCAAGAACGAGUGUGAGAGUGGAAAGUUCACACUGUGACGGUAGCUUACCAGAAAGGGACGGCUAACUACGUGCCAGCAGCCGCGGUAAUACGUAGGUCCCGAGCGUUGUCCGGAUUUAUUGGGCGUAAAGCGAGCGCAGGCGGUUUGAUAAGUCUGAAGUUAAAGGCUGUGGCUCAACCAUAGUUCGCUUUGGAAACUGUCAAACUUGAGUGCAGAAGGGGAGAGUGGAAUUCCAUGUGUAGCGGUGAAAUGCGUAGAUAUAUGGAGGAACACCGGUGGCGAAAGCGGCUCUCUGGUCUGUAACUGACGCUGAGGCUCGAAAGCGUGGGGAGCGAACAGGAUUAGAUACCCUGGUAGUCCACGCCGUAAACGAUGAGUGCUAGGUGUUGGAUCCUUUCCGGGAUUCAGUGCCGCAGCUAACGCAUUAAGCACUCCGCCUGGGGAGUACGACCGCAAGGUUGAAACUCAAAGGAAUUGACGGGGGCCCGCACAAGCGGUGGAGCAUGUGGUUUAAUUCGAAGCAACGCGAAGAACCUUACCAGGUCUUGACAUCCCGAUGCUAUUUCUAGAGAUAGAAAGUUACUUCGGUACAUCGGUGACAGGUGGUGCAUGGUUGUCGUCAGCUCGUGUCGUGAGAUGUUGGGUUAAGUCCCGCAACGAGCGCAACCCCUAUUGUUAGUUGCCAUCAUUCAGUUGGGCACUCUAGCGAGACUGCCGGUAAUAAACCGGAGGAAGGUGGGGAUGACGUCAAAUCAUCAUGCCCCUUAUGACCUGGGCUACACACGUGCUACAAUGGUUGGUACAACGAGUUGCGAGUCGGUGACGGCAAGCUAAUCUCUUAAAGCCAAUCUCAGUUCGGAUUGUAGGCUGCAACUCGCCUACAUGAAGUCGGAAUCGCUAGUAAUCGCGGAUCAGCACGCCGCGGUGAAUACGUUCCCGGGCCUUGUACACACCGCCCGUCACACCACGAGAGUUUGUAACACCCGAAGUCAAAGAGGUAACCUUUUGGAGCCAGCCGCCUAAG